RNAcentral lists this long non-coding RNA (1709 nucleotides) under Marmota monax (woodchuck). Lineage: Eukaryota; Metazoa; Chordata; Mammalia; Rodentia; Sciuridae. The record is from RNAcentral.
UAAAGGACUGUUGCUCAGGGAGCAAUCGGGCUAUUGGGCAAGAACUCCCCACCUCUGCCUCAGGAAACUGGUUUUAACAGACUUUGUAGAAUUUUAUGCCUAUUGGUGUGGUGGGAAACAAUGAAGAUCUGGAUCUGGAGAAGAGGCUGAGGACUCCAUGUUACCAAAAAAAAAAAAAAAAAAAUUGGCAGAGCCAACAGAAGCCUAAUAGAAUCAAGGAAACAGACAGACGAGGAGAGCACUUCUGGGAUCAUGGUCAAUUCUGGGGUCAGGAUGGCUCUUCACCUGUGCUGGAGUAAAUAUACUCAACAGCAAGCAGAAGACUUGGGGCCAAGAAUUUUCCAAGUCACACACAUCCAUCAAACCAAGGUAGAAGCCUCACACAACCUUUGAUCAGAAUGGACUAUUCUGAGAAAGAGGCAACUUCUACCUUUUAAAAUAAAAUCACACUCAUCCUGAUGAACCCAGCCUAAUGCCAUCUUAAGAUUGGGAGCCAUCUCAUCACAAAGUCAUGAAAAGUUAAUUUCUGUUUCACUAUAAAUUACUGAGAUUUCUAAACUUGUUUGGAAUUCCUGCCCGUGCUCUGAACUCACCCAUGCCUAGCUCUCCUUGACCAGAUAACAACCCUCUCUAAAACCUUAGGGACACCUCAUAAAUCCUGGCUCCCCCUGACAGAUAACCACCCUCUCUGAAACCUCAGUGGCACCUCAUAAAUCCUGAUGUUGGGAUCUGAAUUUACUCCCUACCUUGAAAUAUCAUGUCAUGUAGAUUAUUAAUCUGCUAUCUGCCUUUGUAUUAUGCUUGUCAAAAUCCUGUUAUUUGUAUGUUCUCAAGACACCCCCCUUUGGAACUUUUUGUGCUAUAAAACCUUGUUCCUGGAGAGCUGGGAUGCUGAUCUCUAGCCAAAGAGUUGGGAGAGACAGCCCUGGUGACCAUCUUCCUUUGUGUACACAAUGCAAGUUUGCUUUAAUUUGAUUUAAAAUUGGAGUCAGUGGUCUUUUCUUUGUAUGGUGGUUCAACAAUUCCAGUCAAUCUGGAAAGCUAUAUGAUUCCCAAGACUGUGGCUUCCGAGGAGAAAUCAGAGAGGGGACCUUCUAGCUUUUACCUACUAAUCUCUGGCCAAAUGUGGGGCAAGAUUCCAUCACCUCCUCCACCAGGGAUAAUGGCCCCCAAGUCAUGCACACAUUCCCUAGUAAGGGGUAAAGUAUAACUAGUCCCAAAAGAUUAAACACAACCUUUGAUCAACAAGUGACUUAUAUUAGCCUAAGGACAAGCCUUAGCAGCCAACAGUCAAAACAUGGGGAAAAUUUUCUGAGCAAGAAAUCAGAGAUUGCAUACAACAAGCAAAGUAGAGUUCACAGAAUCAGUUUUGCCAAAUUACAGAAGAAGUAAGUGAUAAAAUAAAAACCCAUAAUGGAAACUUACCCUGGGGGGAAUAAGUAUCCCAAGUUAUAUUAUCUAGAAAUGUCUAAUUGUCAACAAAAAUUUAUGAGACAAGCAAGAAAUAAUAUGCCAAUGUAAAGUUAUCUAAAAAGUCCUGUUUUUAACAAAAUGCCAUGAGACAUGAAAUAAAGGAUCAUGUAAGUUUACAUAUUGUGUAAGUCCAUUCAUAUUAAUUAAUCAGACUGGGAAAAUCUAGAGGCAGAAAGUAAAUUUGUGGCUUCCAGGGCUGGGGUAGGGUCAGUGGCAAUGUCCUAGCACUACUAUAC